CGGCCCCCGCGGCUCGUCUCCCACCUGGCCUGCCUCCCAGGGGUCGUGCCAGCCUCUUGGCGCCCCACCCGCUGGCUCCGUGCUGCCUUCGGGAGACCUUCGAUGGCGCUGCGCUGCGCUUCCGGGCGGGCCGGCCCACGCUCCGGGGGCUCCCUUUCUGAGUGCUCCCUCCCCAGCACUGCCCUCUGCUCGGGGCUGCUCCACAGAACCUCUUUGUUCUGCAUGGAGCCUGCUCUCUGUCCACCACUGUGCACUCGGGACAAAGAGGCCUGAGUCACCGCUGACCACGCGGCCCUGCCCUGCCCUCCCCUUCCAGAAGCGCUGAGCUCAUCUCCUAGCAGGACUCUGGGCUGUGGGACUCCAGUUUCCCUUUCCAGUCCUCUCUCCUGUCCCCAUCCCCCACCCCCCCCCAGCCUUCCCUUUGAUGUUGGAGGUGAUGGAGGAGGUGAGCAGGGAGCCUUGUCUCAUGAGCACCCGUGCCGAAGGACCCCCGAUCCUAAAGAGAGAGAGUGGGCCCUGCAAGGACACACGGCUCAGGGGGAAAGAUGGACCCCAGAAAGAAAUGUUCACAGGAUGCUCGCUCUGUCCCAGGACCACGGAGCUUCUGAUGACAGGGACAGAGCUGAAGUCUCCAACACCAUCGAGCCUCUUCCAAAACUCCCCGGUCCCAACUCGGGAAGACCCAGCUCCGAGGUCAGCAGAUAGUGGUGCCUGUGCUGAGUCAGUCGCUGCCUUGCACAUGAGCUGCGUGUGUCUGCCCCUGAAGCCAGAGAGGGCGCAUCUUUGAUGUCCCGACAGGGAAGCAGCUCAUUCACGUGGGACGAAUAAGGCUAUGCCUGCCCUUCAGGGAUGUUCUCUUCGCCUGCCUUUAUUUACACAAAGUCACCUGGAAAUUGUUCUUAAGACUCGGGAAGAAAUUGUAUCAUGCUCCUAGAUCAUUUGCAAAACGGUUCUUCCCCAAGAAUCCUCAGAAGGAUUCAGAAACCAUCCAGGGGAGAAAAUGCUAAUGUCCCCGCAUCUUUCACAAGCCAGCUUUCUUCAGCACUUGAGAGGACUUGCCAGAGAUAUUUUUGGUAGCUCGCUCAAACUGAGGGGCUUCAGGAAAUGCACCGUGGGACGACGUCGCCUGCACGCUGCUUGUCCUGUCUUUGAUUUUCCUGUCAGAGGCUCGGACUUACCCAGAAUCCGCCUGACUUGGCAUUUCCUGACUUUCGGCUUUGGACCCAAGCGUUGUUUAAACAAAGGGCGUGGGGCCCAGUGGGGGUGGGGACCGGGCAUUGUUGGAAUAUCACACGGGAUAAAAAAUUAGAUGUCCCUGUCAGACUAAGUUUAGGCCUGUGAGCCAUUGUUUGCUAUGUGACAACAAUGCUUGUCCAUUUUAUGACAGUGAAAAGAAUUAGCAGGGCUACAUGCUCUGAUGUAAGAUGUGAACUGGGUGAAUGGGCGUGCUGAGUCGCUUCAGUCGCCGCCCCACGGUUGGCAGCCUGCCGGGCCCCUCCGUCCACGGGAUUCCCCAGGCAAGAAUCCUGGAGUGGGCUGCCAUGCCUUCCUCCAGGGGGUCUUCCCGAGCCAGGCAUUGAACCCGUGUCUCUUAUGUCUCCUGCGUUGGCAGGAGGGUGCCACCUGGGAGGCCUGAACUGGGUAUUUCUCUUAAACAAAAAUCUGCACUUAACUGCCCGUUAGCCAUCAGACUGCCAGGUAGCAGUAUAUAGAGUAUAUUGACCUCCCUGGGUGGGGAGACAGCCUUCUGGAAUGACAACAAGGUGGAAAUAGUCGAGCCUUAGCCUUAUUUCUAUGGAGGUUGCCGAGGUUUUUGUGAAAUGACCUAUUUACGGAAACAAAUUAGCCUUUGCUUGUAUCUUUCCCUGAUCUACCAACCAAGAAAACGAGCUUGAUUUUUUUUGUUUUUUGCUUUCUAAAUGUUGUAGGGGUUCAGAUUAAAUAAUCAUCGUCUUGGUUUUACUAAAAUAAAGUGAAGUGAAAGUCGCUCAGUUGUGCCCGACUCUGCGACCCCAUGGACUAUACAGCCUAUACAGUCCAUGGGCUUCUCCAGGCCAGAAUAUUGGAGAGGGUAGCCUUUCCCCUCUCCCGGGGAUCUUCCCGACCCAGGGAUGGAACCCAGCUCUCCCUCGUUGCAGGCGGGUUCUUUACCAGCUGAGCCACAAGGCAAGCCCGAGAAUAGACUUGAUUUAAAAUAUUGCUACCAGGUUGUGGGUCUAAAUUUCUUUUCCCAGCGGGAACGGGCCUCCAUGAAGAACGCACCUUGUAAGGCAGCGGUGGGUGUCUGCUCUGGAGGCUGGAGCAUGCCGCAUCGCCCCAGCUGUGUGGUCGCAGGACCUUGCUUCUGCCCCACAAGCAUCUUUCCAAACCAGCCCGUGGAACAGCCUGAGGCCUGGGCUGGUGGGGACGCCAGGGCGUUCGUCAUCCCAGGGAGGUGGGGACCAGCCACUUUGGGGACUUGAAACCAUCUGUUUCUCACUUCCUUGCUGGUAUGAAGCAGGUCUAAGAGUAGGGUGUGUGAGAUAAAGAG
Molecule: long non-coding RNA, 2530 nt
Filed under: Capra hircus (goat)
Lineage: Eukaryota; Metazoa; Chordata; Mammalia; Artiodactyla; Bovidae
Description: lncRNA (ENSCHIG00000007207.1)
Source: RNAcentral